Molecule: RNase P RNA, 405 nt
Filed under: Nitrospirota bacterium
Lineage: Bacteria; Pseudomonadati; Nitrospirota
Description: Nitrospirae bacterium (groundwater metagenome) RNase P RNA component class A
Rfam family: Bacterial RNase P class A
About the family: Ribonuclease P (RNase P) is a ubiquitous endoribonuclease, found in archaea, bacteria and eukarya as well as chloroplasts and mitochondria.
Source: RNAcentral
GAAGAUAGCCGGAUGAUCGCUGGCCGCAAGGCUGGAGGAAAGUCCGGACUCCAAGGGCAGGGCGCUGGGUAACACCCAGGCGGAGCGAUCCGACACAAGCGCAACAGAGAACAGACCGCCGAUGGCCGGCCGCCAAACAUGUGUUGAUGGCCGGAUCAGGUAAGGGUGAAACGGUGGGGUAAGAGCCCACCGCGUUCGUGGUGACACGGACGGCACGGCAAGCGUCGCCCGGAGCAAGACCAAAUAGGGGGACAUCCGAGGCUCAACCAUAUGGGAGUCUCGGACCGGCCGGCCCGGCCGAGUCCUCGGGUAGGUCGCACGAGGUUCGGGGUAACUCGAGCCCCAGAGAAAUGAUCAUCCACGCCACAAGCGGGACAGAAUCCGGCUUAUAGGCUGUCUCCACCG